AGGUAGUAAAUAAAACCUAUUUAUUUUGAUGGCUUUACAUCUUAAUAGAGGAACUUGUUUAAUAAUCGAUAUUCCACGAUAAUUUUUACUUAAAUAAACAAUUUAUAUACCGCCAUCUAAAGAAUUAAUUAAUAAAUUUUCUCUAAAUAAUAAUUAAAAAGUUAGGUCAAGGUGUAAUCUAUAUUAAAGUUCAAAUGAGUUACACUAAAUAAAAUUUAAGAAGUAAAUAAUUAUAAAUAUUUAUAAAAAAGAAUUUAUAUGUAUUAUUAUAAUAAUAAUUUACUUUGAGUAAGAUUAUUAAAGUGU
Molecule: ribosomal RNA, 306 nt
Filed under: Paradiestus penicillatus
Lineage: Eukaryota; Metazoa; Arthropoda; Arachnida; Araneae; Corinnidae
Description: partial 12S ribosomal RNA
Source: RNAcentral